CUCUACGGCCAUGCUGCCCUGAACACGCCUGAUCUCGUCUGACUUCGGAAGCAAAGCAGGGUCGGGUCUGGUUAGUACUUGGAUAGGAGACCACCUAGGAAGACCGGGCGCUGUAGGCG
This 119-nucleotide ribosomal RNA is filed under the name Pteropus alecto (black flying fox). The record is from RNAcentral. Lineage: Eukaryota; Metazoa; Chordata; Mammalia; Chiroptera; Pteropodidae.